RNAcentral lists this ribosomal RNA (567 nucleotides) under Rhodotorula sp. RNAcentral describes it as "partial large subunit ribosomal RNA". It matches the Rfam family "Eukaryotic large subunit ribosomal RNA", at positions 38 to 620 of the family's 3401-position model. The record is from RNAcentral. Lineage: Eukaryota; Fungi; Basidiomycota; Microbotryomycetes; Sporidiobolales; Sporidiobolaceae.
GCAUAUCAAUAAGCGGAGGAAAAGAAACUAACAAGGAUUCCCCUAGUAGCGGCGAGCGAAGCGGGAAGAGCUCAAAUUUAUAAUCUGGCACCUUCGGUGUCCGAGUUGUAAUCUCUAGAAAUGUUUUCCGCGUUGGACCGCACACAAGUCUGUUGGAAUACAGCGGCAUAGUGGUGAGACCCCCGUAUAUGGUGCGGACGCCCAGCGCUUUGUGAUACAUUUUCGAAGAGUCGAGUUGUUUGGGAAUGCAGCUCAAAUUGGGUGGUAAAUUCCAUCUAAAGCUAAAUAUUGGCGAGAGACCGAUAGCGAACAAGUACCGUGAGGGAAAGAUGAAAAGCACUUUGGAAAGAGAGUUAACAGUACGUGAAAUUGUUGGAAGGGAAACGCUUGAAGUCAGACUUGCUUGCCGAGCAAUCGGUUUGCAGGCCAGCAUCAGUUUUCCGGGAUGGAUAAUGGUAGAGAGAAGGUAGCAGUUUCGGCUGUGUUAUAGCUCUCUGCUGGAUACAUCUUGGGGGACUGAGGAACGCAGUGUGCCUUUGGCGGGGGUUUCGACCUCUUCACACUUAG